AUGCACGCUGGCGGCGUGCCUAAUACAUGCAAGUCGAGCGAACAGAUGAGGAGCUUGCUCCUCUGACGUUAGCGGCGGACGGGUGAGUAACACGUGGAUAACCUACCUAUAAGACUGGGAUAACUUCGGGAAACCGGAGCUAAUACCGGAUAAUAUAUUGAACCGCAUGGUUCAAUAGUGAAAGACGGUUUUGCUGUCACUUAUAGAUGGAUCCGCCCCGCAUUAGCUAGUUGGUAAGGUAACGGCUUACCAAGGCAACGAUGCGUAGCCGACCUGAGAGGGUGAUCGGCCACACUGGAACUGAGACACGGUCCAGACUCCUACGGGAGGCAGCAGUAGGGAAUCUUCCGCAAUGGGCGAAAGCCUGACGGAGCAACGCCGCGUGAGUGAUGAAGGUCUUCGGAUCGUAAAACUCUGUUAUUAGGGAAGAACAAAUGUGUAAGUAACUAUGCACGUCUUGACGGUACCUAAUCAGAAAGCCACGGCUAACUACGUG
RNAcentral lists this ribosomal RNA (496 nucleotides) under uncultured bacterium. Its description in RNAcentral is "partial 16S ribosomal RNA". It matches the Rfam family "Bacterial small subunit ribosomal RNA", at positions 29 to 507 of the family's 1533-position model. The record is from RNAcentral.